RNAcentral lists this long non-coding RNA (240 nucleotides) under Jatropha curcas. RNAcentral's name for it is "long non-coding RNA (JCUR_LNC002025)". Lineage: Eukaryota; Viridiplantae; Streptophyta; Magnoliopsida; Malpighiales; Euphorbiaceae. The record is from RNAcentral.
GUUACGAGAACUGUCUUGUGUUGAGGCAGUUCGUAAUGCUUGGUGUGACCCUUUAGCUAUCAAUAAUGAGUUGGAGAAUCGCCUUAGCCGAUGCAGAUCAGCUAUGCGCAAAUGGGAACGACAACAUUUUGGGAUGGUUAACAAACAGAUUUCGAAUUGUUUUAAAUUGUAUUAAAUAUGAUGGAGUUAAAGAAGUUUAUUAUUCUUGAAAGUUAAUGAAAUUCCAUCUUUUACUUCAAA